GGCGGCGUGCUUAACACAUGCAAGUCGAACGGAAAGGCCCUGCUUUUGUGGGGUGCUCGAGUGGCGAACGGGUGAGUAACACGUGAGUAACCUGCCCUUGACUUUGGGAUAACUUCAGGAAACUGGGGCUAAUACCGGAUAGGAGCUCCUGCUGCAUGGUGGGGGUUGGAAAGUUUCGGCGGUUGGGGAUGGACUCGCGGCUUAUCAGCUUGUUGGUGGGGUAGUGGCUUACCAAGGCUUUGACGGGUAGCCGGCCUGAGAGGGUGACCGGCCACAUUGGGACUGAGAUACGGCCCAGACUCCUACGGGAGGCAGCAGUGGGGAAUAUUGCACAAUGGGCGGAAGCCUGAUGCAGCAACGCCGCGUGCGGGAUGACGGCCUUCGGGUUGUAAACCGCUUUCGCCUGUGACGAAGCGUGAGUGACGGUAAUGGGUAAAGAAGCACCGGCUAACUACGUGCCAGCAGCCGCGGUGAUACGUAGGGUGCGAGCGUUGUCCGGAUUUAUUGGGCGUAAAGGGCUCGUAGGUGGUUGAUCGCGUCGGAAGUGUAAUCUUGGGGCUUAACCCUGAGCGUGCUUUCGAUACGGGUUGACUUGAGGAAGGUAGGGGAGAAUGGAAUUCCUGGUGGAGCGGUGGAAUGCGCAGAUAUCAGGAGGAACACCAGUGGCGAAGGCGGUUCUCUGGGCCUUUCCUGACGCUGAGGAGCGAAAGCGUGGGGAGCGAACAGGCUUAGAUACCCUGGUAGUCCACGCUGUAAACGGUGGGCACUAGGUGUGGGGUCCAUUCCACGGGUUCCGUGCCGUAGCUAACGCUUUAAGUACCCCGCCUGGGGAGUACGGCCGCAAGGCUAAAACUCAAAGGAAUUGACGGGGCCCCGCACAAGCGGCGGAGCAUGCGGAUUAAUUCGAUGCAACGCGUAGAACCUUACCUGGGUUUGACAUGGAUCGGGAGUGCUCAGAGAUGGGUGUGCCUCUUUUGGGGUCGGUUCACAGGUGGUGCAUGGCUGUCGUCAGCUCGUGUCGUGAGAUGUUGGGUUAAGUCCCGCAACGAGCGCAACCCUUGUUCACUGUUGCCAGCACGUUAUGGUGGGGACUCAGUGGAGACCGCCGGGGUCAACUCGGAGGAAGGUGGGGAUGACGUCAAGUCAUCAUGCCCCUUAUGUCCAGGGCUUCACGCAUGCUACAAUGGCUGGUACAGAGAGUGGCGAGCCUGUGAGGGUGAGCGAAUCUCGGAAAGCCGGUCUCAGUUCGGAUUGGGGUCUGCAACUCGACCUCAUGAAGUCGGAGUCGCUAGUAAUCGCAGAUCAGCAACGCUGCGGUGAAUACGUUCCCGGGGCUUGUACACACCGCCCGUCAAGUCAUGAAAGUUGGUAACACCCGAAGCCGGUGGCCUAACCGUUGUGGGGGAGCCGUCGAAGGUGGGACUGGUGAUUAG
Molecule: ribosomal RNA, 1433 nt
Filed under: uncultured organism
Description: partial small subunit ribosomal RNA
Rfam family: Bacterial small subunit ribosomal RNA
Source: RNAcentral